UGUAUAAUUGUCUUUGAAAUCACAAGCUGAAGAAUCUGUAAUCUUUUUCCUUUACAGAUCUCCUCCGGGAGUGGUGGGCAGCUACUGUGAAAGGCCUGGUUCAAAAACCUCACAGCGGUUGUUUUCAGAGUUGUCCCUCCUGUGUACUCUCAAAGCCCCAGAAUGAAGCAAAGCAUCCUCCCUUUUCAAACUGGCACUCUUCCCCAACCUUGAGGACCACUAGGCACUUUGUUUUUAAAGCCACAGUUACUUUUAUGGAGAAGUAUUGUUAUGAAAAAAGGGAGGCAUCUGAGGAGUGGAAACAGAGAAAUGAGUGACUGAGAUCAGUGUCUUAUUUUGACCAUCUUUUCCAAGUGCUGCAUCCUCCCAAACACAACAUGAACUCAACACUUAAUAAAGCUGCAGUCCUACGUG
Homo sapiens (human) is the source of this 414-nucleotide long non-coding RNA. RefSeq lists it as uncharacterized. The record is from RefSeq and is marked validated. NCBI's taxonomy places the organism in Eukaryota, Metazoa, Chordata, Mammalia, Primates, Hominidae. The transcript has 3 exons.